GGAUGCUCAACGGGGAGACUGGGACGUAGCGUCCGAAGGCAAGGGAGAGAGGCUGGGCUAGAGAGAAGAGAGAAUUAUAACGGCUACUUUGAUGGAGCUCCUAUUAUGAACUCAGGCCCUCAGCUGGCGACUUCCCAUGCAUCCGUGCAUCCACUGGACACAUAUUCACUAAAUAUCUACAGGUUUCUGUUCCAAGAUUGACAAGAUUCCGUGGUUUAUGAGGCCAGCCUCAUAAACAGCCAUUAGCGCUCAGCCCCCCCGAAAAGAUAUCCUCAUUCCUCUGCACUUUUCUGGUUUCAUCCAGAAGGCUAUGAAUUUGCCAAUUUUGUUCCAAGUUCCAGAUGUCUUAUCUAAGGGAUACAGGAAUCAUUAUGUCCUGAUAUGGACCCUGAGAGUCCACUCUCUUCCUGCGAAAAGGUACUCUUUCUUUGACCCUUUAUCCAAAGAACUUUCUGGCUGAUGGAAACUAAGUGUAUGUGCUACUGGACCUUUCUGGGCCAGUUUCCUCACUGUGUUCAAUGAAAGAGUUGAAGUAGGUGACUGAUGAGGUGCCUCCCAGUUAAGGCAGGAGAGGGAAGGAGGAAAGGAGCAGAGGCCUUGGGUGAGAUCAGAGGCACAUUUGUUGGUGCCCCUCGACUCAUGCUUGUGGUGGCUAUUUUUAAAGUUGCCAUCUGGUGCUUCCAUUUUUCAGUUUUUGUUAUGUGGACAGGUGUGUGUGUGUGAGAGAGAGAGAGAAACAGAGGAGAGGAAGAGGGAGGGAGAGGGAGAAACAAUUCUGUUUCUUUCCCAAAGAUUCAAGGAGGCCAAGGCCUUGGGCCACGAGCCGGAGCUUAGGCACCUGAGCAGACACUGAGCUCAGAUACGAAGGUGUUUCCAGGUGUGAAGUGUGAAGAGCAGGCUUUGGCUUCUGGGGCCCAGCUGAGCUCUGCGUCAUGCCUUGGCCUGGCUGUCCUGUCACACUGACAUCUGCUCUCCUGGGGACAGCUGCUCGGGAAAGGAGAACCCCAUGAACAUUUCCGAGCCUCCUUUCUUGGUGGCUCUGAGUGUACAGAUGAUACAGCUGGGGGGCCUGUGCUCAGAACCACCGGCCAGUUCACUCUCCAUUCCUGCUAGUGUGCUGAGCGGGCCCGAGGGAAACCGGGAGUGAGAAGGACGUGCUGCGGAAGGAAAAGGCCUUGGUUUCAGGGCUGAGGAAGGAAGCUGAGGCCCAGGGAGGACACAGAAUCCCAAACUGUCUGCGUCGGCUGCUUUGUAGACCUGCCAGGCAGGAUUGCCCAUCACGGCUGCCUAACAAACACAUUGCACAGACAGCCCCAGGGCCUCGCCCGCCUCUCCAAGUGAGGAGGGAUGCGGUGGCUCUUCUCAGGGAUGAGGCUUUGGCUGACAGCGAGUCUCUGGUGGAGUCACUGCCACUUUCCUGGCAGAGGUGACUGAAGCCACACAUCAAAGACUUUUUCUUCUCUACAUAGACAGCGUGGGCAGGAUUAGAGUUGGCCUCUGGCCUAUUGGCUGCAGAAACCAGCAGCACCGGGGGGAUGGGAGGCCCAGGGCGUUUCUAUGACUGACCACGGCCAAGUCACUCAGCACCAGGUCUGGAGCCGAGCAAUUUGCUUCCAGCCUCUGCGUUUCCUAAGAAUUUGGUACAGAUGAAUUUGUUGCACACAAAUGUCCUGUAAUGUUUCCCUGAGCACAGUGCUGUUAUAAUAGUGAUCUUCACACAUGUGUGUCUUGUAGGAAUUUAUGGACAUACAUGUAUGCUGGUCAUGUCUCUGUUUAUACCUGAUAGCUUAAAACGCUUACACUGACUCAUUCAUUCAGCCAACAUGUGUUGAAUGCCUACUGUGUGCCAAUUCCGAGAUGGGUUCUAGAUUCCUGUCCUAUUUCGGGUCAGGGGUGUUCAUCAGUACUUCCCUUGGAAACUUGUACUUGUCGUUAUACAUGUUUGAUCAACAUAAACAGGAGAAGGACUUAGGAGUACGCAGGGUAGUUCCUGUGGUGAUCACAAGCUUUCAAACUUGAGCCAAGCAGAAAGAAAUAAUGAAAAGAGUUCUCGGUGGUGAGAAAAUUGGAAGUCAGCCUCUUAUACAUCCAAAGAUGUGUGAGAUACGUUCUUGCUCUUAAAGAACUCUAAGCCUGGCGGAGGAAACAAACAC
Molecule: long non-coding RNA, 2153 nt
Organism: Phocoena sinus (vaquita)
Lineage: Eukaryota; Metazoa; Chordata; Mammalia; Artiodactyla; Phocoenidae
Source: Ensembl